This 399-nucleotide long non-coding RNA is filed under the name Nicotiana benthamiana. RNAcentral's name for it is "long non-coding RNA (NBEN_LNC027058)". The record is from RNAcentral. Lineage: Eukaryota; Viridiplantae; Streptophyta; Magnoliopsida; Solanales; Solanaceae.
UUGUUAUUAUUGCACGGUAAAAUCAUGACAUAAGGUAUGUUGUAUUGUCUUGGUAAGAUUUGGGUUUGUGAUCUGUAAAAUAAUGAAGUCUAUCUCGGUGUUUAUGUCUAUAUCAUGUUAGGUAUCAAAUGAUGUGUGAUAUGUGUGUUACAAAAUGAUUGUUACGGUGUUUUGUGGGGUUGCAUGCUUUCAGCUUGAGAAACCUAGGUUCUAUAUAAAUGUUAGCAAAAAGAGUCAUAUUUACGCUUGUACUAUUUAAUUUUAGUUAUAUAUACCCUUUGUUAUACUUUUCGACAUUAAUUACCCUCGCCAUUACACUUUUGAACACAAAUACCCCUGCCACUAAUGGAAAACUUAGACCCGCCUUCAAAAUAAUACAUGGAGGUCAUCUGUUAAUCC